RNAcentral lists this non-coding RNA (31 nucleotides) under Rattus norvegicus (Norway rat). Lineage: Eukaryota; Metazoa; Chordata; Mammalia; Rodentia; Muridae. The record is from RNAcentral.
UCAGAGGUCAAUCAUUGUGUCUCUCCUGUCU